Molecule: long non-coding RNA, 4542 nt
Filed under: Homo sapiens (human)
Lineage: Eukaryota; Metazoa; Chordata; Mammalia; Primates; Hominidae
Description: HSALNT0164637
Source: RNAcentral
GUGUCACUGAAGUUUGUGCUGAGUAAAUGAUGGAGCAUGAAAUAAAAUGAUUUAUACCACUUUUCCCCCCAAUAGGCAGUGAUUUUUAAUGUUUUUCUCCUUCCGAAAGAAGGCGUGGGUGUUGAAAGUGAUUUUUGAUUGUUUUUCUUAAGUGGUCCAAGACCACAACAUUCUAAGAGCCGCCCUCCCUUCUUUCCCACAUGGUUGACUCUUGCUUGAACUUUCACAAUUUGCAAACAUUAGAAUGUUCUGACAGCUUCACUGGAGAUUCUCUAAUCUGACCCAUCAGAAUGGAAAUUGGAGGCCAAGCCUUUCAGGAGUUGCUGGAAUCUGCACUUAAAGUGGUGUGAUCCAAGUCUUGUUCUCACUGGGUUUCUCUUUCAAGACAAUUGCACUAGGGUUAAGUUGAUUGGUUUUAUGGCAUCAUGUAAAGUUAAUUUUUUAAAAAAUCAUUGCUUGUGAACUUGGGGCCCUAAAUAGAAAUAUUUUGCACAUGUGUGGCCCCAAGCUCUGUGAGGGAGUGUAGUAACAUCAGUUCUCCAGAGGACGUGAGGCAGGGGUGGAUGCUGCCCUGCCCUCCUACCCCAACUGUUUGCAGACUCAGCCCAUCUAAUUCCUCCUUAAAUUUGUUCUUGUCUCCUUUAUCUCAGUUAGUGGUGCAGCCAUCCUCCUGACGCCCUAGGUUCACCUCUGAGUUCAUGUUCUCACACCCUUAAGGAUCGCCAUGUCUGCCCCUAUCUCCUACACCUUGCCAACAAAGCAGGAAUUGCCUAGAGUCACGGUCUGAUCCAAGUUGCUUCCCUGCUCAAAACUGGUGUCUGUAGAAUCUAGGCCAACCUUGGAGCCAGCAGAUGACUUUUCUAGCUCAGCUUCCUCUUUACCUGAGCUCCAGCCACAUGAACUGACUCAGUGUGUCUUGUGUUUUCCCAGCUCUUGGUGUUUGUUUAUGCUGGACCCCUUGUAUUAGUUUUCUAGGGCUGCUGUAACAAAAUACCACAGACUUGGUGGCUUAAACAACAUAAAUUUAUUUUCUCACAGUUCUGUAGGCUCAAAGUCCAAGAUGAAAGUGUCAGGAGAAUUGAUUUCUUCUGAGGCCUCUCUCCUUGGCUUGCAGAAGGCUGUGUUCUCACUGUGUCUCUAUAUGGCCUUCCCUCUGUGUGUCUAUCUGUGUCCUGAUCACCUCCUCCUCCUCUUCUUUUCUCUCUCUCUUUUUUUUUUUUGGAGGCAUGAUCUCCUUCUAUCUCUCAGGCUGGAGUACAGUGGCGCCAACACAGCUCACUGCUGCCUUGAACUCUUGGGCCCCAGUGAUUCUCCCACCUCAGCUUCCCAAGUAGAUAGGACUACAGGUGUAUACCAUCACCUAGCUAAUUUUUUUAGAGAUGGGGUCUUGCUAUGUUGCCCAGGUUGGUCUUGAGCUCCUGGCCUCAAGCAGUCCUCUCGCCUCGGCCUCCCAAAGCACUAAUCUCUUCUUCUUGUGAAGACACCAGUCAUGUUGGAUUAGGGCCCACCCUAAUAACCUCAUUUUAACUUAGUUAUCUCUUUAAAGACCCUGUCUCCCAUUCUGAGAAUCUGGGUUAGAACUGCAACAUACAAAUUUCUUUUGGGGGAUGGGUACAAUUCAGCCCGUAAUACCCUUGCCCUAGGAAAGCCCUUAUUUCUACCUUUGCCUGUCAAACUCCUACAUGUUCCAGGCUCACUCUGAAUCAAACACCUACAUGUUCAAGGCUCACUCUGAAUGUCACGUUUCCAUGAACUUCUCCUUAACUCUGUGCAUGGUUGCUUAGCUGCCUUUUAUGUUCUGGGAGGCCCCCAUGACAGCCAAGUCCCCAGGCGCAACUGCUGUGAUGAAGGCUGGAUUUUUGCUUCCACCUCUUGGGGACACAAGGCUUGUAUAGCCCCUGGGGCCCACGAGGCUUGUAUGGCUUCUGGGGCCCUGCUGUUCCCACCACAAGCAGUCCCCUUGGGCUAAGCAUCACUCAGGGUAUACCAUGUGUGGCCAUCUGUAUAAUUCAUGAGGGAGGACUGUGUCACCCAGGCACUGCUGCUCAUUUGCAAGAAUUAUGGGCUUUGACAGAACUCCCUGUCAUGCAGGCCUCCUUGUCAUAUCUGUGGUAAUUACUAUUCCUCUUCUAAUUACUUAUCUUAUCCACAUGGCCCCUUUCAGCUGCAGCACAGGAGACUCCUGUCCUCUUCUGCAGAGGCAGCUGUGUCACUGCCACUGCUUCCGUGGCCCCCGAGGCACAGCCUCUGCUGAGGCCUCCUUUCUGGAUUCUGAGCCGUGCCUCAUUUAGACCAUUGCUCUGAAGGACCACAGGCCUGGGAGGAGGCCUUUAAGCCUGUGUGCAGCUGAUCACCAGCUCCAAGCUACCAGCAUUCACCUUGGGAGGAGGCAGCUCUCCCCCAAGAUUACAACUUGCUCCAAGUCAGGUGGAGAAAAAUAGCAAAGAGAACAUCAUAUUUAAGAGUUUGAAUGUGCUGAGUGGAUGCUUUGGAAACCUAACCUCAGGCAAAAGGUCCUUGGUUCAGGCUUGGUGACUGAUGUUGCAUUGUCUGCUGUUAAUAGCCUAGAGAUUGAAGACCCAAGUAGGCCAUAUUUUUGCCUGUCAACAGCGAAUCUCCAAUCUUUUAACUUCUUUAGUUUCAAUAUUUGAUUUUGCUUGGGUUCACCUCUACAGUUGCUUUGCCUUGUCCCUGGUCACCUUACUAUAUUUGACUGAAUUAAGCUUUCUGUUUCAAUGUAAGUACUUAGUAUUUUGCAUUUAAAAGGCUGUUCUUUAAUAACUUUGGAGGAAGUUGACUGAUUUUAAUGAAAUUCUGUCCAUUAUAAAAGGCAUUCACAUACACCUCAGGUUUAAUUUAAAUGCAGUCUGUCCCCUUGAAAUGAAAUGGCAAUGGGCAAAAGUCUCCAAAAAGACCAUUUUUUUCAAUAAUACAUAAGGAUUUCCGUGGAAAUUGGUGCAUUUUUACAAGGUAUGGAGAUAUUGUCCCACCUGUGUGAACCUGCCUAAAAGAGUAUCUCUGUGUAACAGUGAUGGUGAGUUAGAAAUGGAGCUCUCUUGUCUCAAUGCCUGACUUCAGUCUGAUCUUUGCACUACUCCUUGACUGCUGACCUCACUCCCCGCCCUGCCAUGUACAUCCUCUGUGUACCCUGGGAACUUGUAUGUAGUUAAUUGUAUCUGGACCUGCACCCCCAGCUUCUUUCUUGGCUUCAUUUAAUCUCUCUCUUGGCUUCCUUGCCUUCAGGGAUCUCCUUCAAGGCAGGGCCAUUUCUGGUUUCCUCCAGCUCCCAGGGCUCCUUCCUGCAACAGAAAAUGUUCCUGCCUUCACAGAGCUUACAUUUUAGUAAGUGGAUUGGGAGGUUGCGGCCAAGUGUAUAGUGAGGUGACGCUUAGGGAAAGCUUAGGCUGCUCUGAGAACACCUGAAAAGUACACCCAACCGGCUUGGUGUGGUGGCUCACACCUGUAAUCCCAGCACUUUGGGAGGCCGAGGCGGGUGGAUCACGAGGUCAGGAGAUUGAGACCAUCCUACAUAACACGGUGAAACCCCGCCUGUACUAAAAAUACAAAAAAUUAGCCGGGCGUGGUCACAGGCGCCUGUAGUCCCAGCUACUUGGGAGGCUGAGGCAGGAUAAUGGCAUGAACCUGGGAGGCAGAGCUUGCAGUGAGCUGAGAUCGCACCACUGUACUCCAGCCUGGGCAACAGAGUGAGACUCUGUCUAAAAAAAAAAAAAAAAAAGUACACGCAACCUUGGGAGGAAGGAAGGGCAUCAGGAAGAGGCAUCCUGAAGGAGCCACUCAUUCAUUCAUUCAUUCAUUUACUCACUCACUUUAUAGAGCCAAACAUGUACUGGGUAGUCACUGGGAAACAGCAGUGAAAAAGCAGGCAGCAUCUCUGUCCUCAUAAAGCUUGUAUUUUAGUGAGGAGAGUUGGCCAAGUAAGGUGGCCUUGGGAGCUGAAGAGUGUUUCAGGCAGAGGGAACACAACAGACGAUGUCCAGAUCUCAGGCAGAACGAGUGUAUUCAAGGGACACAAACAGGUACUGGGUAGUCACUGGGAAACAGCAGUGAAAAAGCAGGCGGCAUGUCUGUCCUCAUAAAGCUUGUAUUUUAGUGAGGAGAGUUGGCCAAGUAAGGUGGCCUUGGGAGCUGAAGAGUGAUUCAGGCAGAGGGAACACAACAGACAAUGAACAAGUGUAUUCAAGGGACACAAACAGGGAAGGCAGAGGCCAGAUCACAAAGGGACUUGUAAACCAUUUGUUAAGGCAUCUGGACUUUAUUCAUAGGCUAAGGGCUUGCCAUUUUCAAGGGUUUUAGGAGAGUGGCACAGUCAUGUUUGUACUUUAGAAAGAUCACUGUGGUUGUUGUGGAGAGAAUGGGCUGCGGGUGCAGGUUAGCAGAUGAGUUAGGAGGUUGUAGAGUCUUCCAAGACAAGGCAGAGGCCUGCAUUGGAGCAGUGGAGUGUGGAAGGAGAGUAGAUGAACCUGAGGGGAUUUUAGAGGUGGUUUUGAUGGUAUUUGUGUUGAGUGGAUGUGGAGGGGUGAG